UACGUAGGGUGCAGGCGUUAAUCGGAAUUACUGGGCGUAAAGCGUGCGCAGGCGGUUUCUUAAGUCAGAUGUGAAAGCCCCGGGCUUAACCUGGGAACUGCGUUUGAAACUGGGAGACUUGAGUGUGGCAGAGGGGGGUGGAAUUCCACGUGUAGCAGUGAAAUGCGUAGAUAUGUGGAGGAACACCGAUGGCGAAGGCGGCAUCCUGGACCGGCAUUGACGCUGAGGAGCGAAAGCCAGGGGAGCAAACGGG
RNAcentral lists this ribosomal RNA (253 nucleotides) under uncultured bacterium. RNAcentral's name for it is "partial 16S ribosomal RNA". It matches the Rfam family "Bacterial small subunit ribosomal RNA", at positions 524 to 776 of the family's 1533-position model. The record is from RNAcentral.